CAAUGGCGUAUAUUAAAGUUGUUGCAGUUAAAAAGCUCGUAGUUGGAUUUCGGGACGGGCCAGUUGGUCCGCCGCAAGGUGUGUUACUGACUGGUCUGUUCUUCUUCGCAAAGACUGCGUGUGCUCUUCGUUGAGUGUGCGUAGGAUUUACGACGUUUACUUUGAAAAAAUUAGAGUGUUCAAAGCAGGCUAUCGCUUGAAUACAUGAGCAUGGAAUAAUGGAAUAGGACUUUGGUCCUAUUUUGUUGGUUUCUAGGACCGAAGUAAUGAUUAAGAGGGACAAUUGGGGGCAUCCGUAUUUCGUUGUCAGAGGUGAAAUUCUUGGAUUUACGAAAGACGAACAACUGCGAAAGCACUUGCCAAGAGUGUUUUCAUUAA
RNAcentral lists this ribosomal RNA (378 nucleotides) under uncultured eukaryote. RNAcentral describes it as "partial 18S ribosomal RNA". It matches the Rfam family "Eukaryotic small subunit ribosomal RNA", at positions 592 to 976 of the family's 1831-position model. The record is from RNAcentral.